UACGUAGGCAGCGAGCGUUGUUCGGAGUUACUGGGCGUAAAGGGUGUGUAGGCGGUUGUUUAAGUUUGGUGUGAAAUCUCCCGGCUCAACUGGGAGGGUGCGCCGAAUACUGAGUGACUAGAGUGCGGGAGAGGAAAGUGGAAUUCCUGGUGUAGCGGUGAAAUGCGUAGAUAUCAGGAGGAACACCGGUGGUGUAGACGGCUUUCUGGACCGUAACUGACGCUGAGACACGAAAGCGUGGGUGGCAAACAGG
Molecule: ribosomal RNA, 253 nt
Filed under: uncultured bacterium
Lineage: Bacteria
Description: partial 16S ribosomal RNA
Rfam family: Bacterial small subunit ribosomal RNA
Source: RNAcentral